Molecule: RNase P RNA, 426 nt
Filed under: Bacteroidales bacterium
Lineage: Bacteria; Pseudomonadati; Bacteroidota; Bacteroidia; Bacteroidales
Description: RNase P RNA component class A
Rfam family: Bacterial RNase P class A
About the family: Ribonuclease P (RNase P) is a ubiquitous endoribonuclease, found in archaea, bacteria and eukarya as well as chloroplasts and mitochondria. Its best characterised activity is the generation of mature 5'-ends of tRNAs by cleaving the 5'-leader elements of precursor-tRNAs. Cellular RNase Ps are ribonucleoproteins.
Source: RNAcentral
CCGGCGGGUCGUCCUAUCGCUCAAGAAAUUGGGAGGAAAGUCCGGGCAGGGAAGAGCACUGCACUGUGGAAAGCACAGAUAGGCGAUGAGUUUAUGCAAGGGUAACAGAGAAUUACCGCCGCAGAAGCGUCAGGUCACGUGCCUGUUACAAGACUUUAUAGUCUUUGCGCGCAGCAGAAGACCUUAGGGUUGUUAGACUGCAUUACUGCGGUAAGGGUGAAAAUGUGGGGUAAGAGCCCACGGGUUAUGAUGGCGACAUUAUAGCGGUAUCCUACUGCAUCCUGCAAGGCCAUGUAUACCAGCAGUUAAGGGUUGCUCGUCCGUUGCUGGGGGGUAGGCUGCGACAGAUAAAUGAUAGGAGCUUCUUAGGGUGCCUCCGGGCACAAGUCUGAAGUACAGAACUCGGCUUAUAGAUCCGCCCACAAU